GAAGGGUCUGAGCUGAGGUCCUCCUGGAGGAGGGUGGCCCUACAUCCCAUGACAGGGUCCUUCUAAGAGACAGAAGAGGAGAGACACAGACACAGAGGAGAAGCCCCAGGAAGACAGAGGCAGAGACGGGAGGGACGCGGCCACAAGCCCAGGGACGCCUGGAGCCCCCAGAAGCUGGAAGAGGCGGGAAGGACCCUCCCCUGGAGCCUCUGGAGG
Long non-coding RNA from Orcinus orca (killer whale), 216 nucleotides. RefSeq lists it as uncharacterized. The record is from RefSeq and is a predicted model, not a curated record. The transcript is spliced from 3 exons. Lineage: Eukaryota; Metazoa; Chordata; Mammalia; Artiodactyla; Delphinidae.